RNAcentral lists this long non-coding RNA (409 nucleotides) under Gallus gallus (chicken). The record is from RNAcentral. Lineage: Eukaryota; Metazoa; Chordata; Aves; Galliformes; Phasianidae.
GCAGGAAGAACGCAGCAGUAUCAGCGCACUCCAUCCCGGGGAUCUGAAUGCAUUUGCAGAGAGAACAGGGAAAUAGCAGUUCCAACCAGGUGGACUCUCAAUGUCUUGCAAGCGACACCUAGAAGCAGGUACAGGCAGGAGGUACAGCACCCUGCAACCUCCAGGGGCCUUUGUGCAACACCAGAUGUUCAUGUCCUAGAAGCACGUGGCGGAGCACGUCCUGGGAUCAAGGUGCCAUGGACUGGAAAAUGCAGCUCUGGACAUACAGGCUUGGCGGAGUUCCUGUGUGAAGACAAAACUCCCAGUACUCCAGAAACGUGGAGGCAGAAGAGCAGUGACAAGGUAUCUGUAUGUCUGUCAGUAUAUGUGCACAGCCAGGAGUGCGUGGGCAGACAAAGAAGCGUUGUGC